AUUGAACGCUGGCGGCAGGCCUAACACAUGCAAGUCGAGCGGAGCGGCGGACGGGUGCGUAAUGCCUAGGAAUCUGCCUGUUAGUGGGGGAUAACGUCAGGAAACGGGCGCUAAUACCGCAUACUAUUAGCAGCGGCUAGGGCGGGUGAUCUAGUGGGUGGGGUAAGGGCCUACCAAGGCGACGAUCCGUACCUGGUCUGAGAGGAGGAUCAGUCAAACUGGAACUGAGACACGGUCCAGACUCCUACGGGAGGCAGCAGUGGGGAAUAUUGGACAAUGGGCGAAAGCCUGAUCCAGCCAUGCCGCGUGUGUGAAGAAGGUCUUCGGAUUGUAAAGCACUUUAAGUUGGGAGGCGUUACCAACAGAAUAAGCACCGGCUAACUUCGUGCCAGCAGCCGCGGUAAUUC
RNAcentral lists this ribosomal RNA (407 nucleotides) under uncultured bacterium. RNAcentral's name for it is "partial 16S ribosomal RNA". It matches the Rfam family "Bacterial small subunit ribosomal RNA", at positions 30 to 526 of the family's 1533-position model. The record is from RNAcentral.